GAUGAACGCUGGCGGCGUGCUUAACGCAUGCAAGUCGAACGAGAAGUGGAGACGGAAACCUUCGGGCGGAAGACUUUACUUCGAGUGGCGGACGGGUGAGUAACGCGUGGGUAACCUGCCUCAUACAGGGGGAUAACAGUUGGAAACGACUGUUAAUACCGCAUAAGACCACAGCACCGCAUGGUGCGGGGGUAAAAACUCCGGUGGUAUGAGAUGGACCCGCGUUCGAUUAGCCAGUUGGCGGGGUAACGGCCCACCAAAGCGACGAUCGAUAGCCGAUCUGAGAGGAUGACCGGCCACAUUGGGACUGAGACACGGCCCAAACUCCUACGGGAGGCAGCAGUGGGGAAUAUUGCACAAUGGGGGAAACCCUGAUGCAGCGACGCCGCGUGAGUGAAGAAGUAUUUCGGUAUGUAAAGCUCUAUCAGCAGGGAAGAAAAUGACAGUACCUGAGUAAGAAGCCCCGGCUAACUACGUG
RNAcentral lists this ribosomal RNA (478 nucleotides) under uncultured bacterium. RNAcentral describes it as "partial 16S ribosomal RNA". It matches the Rfam family "Bacterial small subunit ribosomal RNA", at positions 28 to 507 of the family's 1533-position model. The record is from RNAcentral.